CCUACGGGAGGCUGCAGUGGGGAAUAUUGGACAAUGGGCGAAAGCCUGAUCCAGCCAUGCCGCGUGUGUGAAGAAGGCCUUCGGGUUGUAAAGCACUUUCAGUGGGGAAGAAAGCCUUGGGGCUAAUACCCUCGAGGAAGGACAUCACCCACAGAAGAAGCACCGGCUAACUCCGUGCCAGCAGCCGCGGUAAUACGGAGGGUGCGAGCGUUAAUCGGAAUUACUGGGCGGAAAGCGCGCGUAGGCGGUCUGAUAAGCCGGUUGUGAAAGCCCCGGGCUCAACCUGGGAACGGCAUCCGGAACUGUCAGGCUAGAGUGCAGGAGAGGAAGGUAGAAUUCCCGGUGUAGCGGUGAAAUGCGUAGAGAUCGGGAGGAAUACCAGUGGCGAAGGCGGCCUUCUGGACUGACACUGACGCUGAGGUGCGAAAGCGUGGGUAGCAAACAGGAUUAGAUACCCCAGUAGUC
RNAcentral lists this ribosomal RNA (465 nucleotides) under Vreelandella stevensii. RNAcentral's name for it is "partial 16S ribosomal RNA". It matches the Rfam family "Bacterial small subunit ribosomal RNA", at positions 338 to 795 of the family's 1533-position model. The record is from RNAcentral. Lineage: Bacteria; Pseudomonadati; Pseudomonadota; Gammaproteobacteria; Oceanospirillales; Halomonadaceae.